Molecule: ribosomal RNA, 468 nt
Filed under: uncultured bacterium
Lineage: Bacteria
Description: partial 16S ribosomal RNA
Rfam family: Bacterial small subunit ribosomal RNA
Source: RNAcentral
GACGAACGCUGGCGGCGUGCUUAACACAUGCAAGUCGAACGGAAAGGCCCGGCUUUUGUGGGGUGCUCGAGUGGCGAACGGGGGAGUAACACGUGAGUAACCUGCCCUUGACUUUGGGAUAACUUCAGGAAACUGGGGCUAAUACCGGAUAGGAGCUCCUGCUGCAUGGUGGGGGUUGGAAAGUUUCGGCGGUUGGGGAUGGACUCGCGGCUUAUCAGCUUGUUGGUGGGGUAGUGGCUUACCAAGGCCUUGACGGGUAGCCUACCUGAGCGGAUGACCGGCCACGUUGGGCCUGGGAUGCGACACAGCCUCCUCUCGGAGGCAGGGGAGGGGUAUGUUGCACUGUGGGAGGAGCCCAGACGCGGCAACGCCGCGUGCGGGAAGUCGGCCAUCGGGUUGUAAACCGCUUUCGCCUGUGACGAAACGUGAGUGACGGUAAUGGGUAAAUAAGCACCGGCUAACUACGUG